AUGCCAGAUCCAUGCACCCCCGGAAGCCAAGGAAGCCUCCCCCAUUUAUCUCUGAGGACGCGCUUGCUUCACGCCAGGGUUAAAGGUCUAGAGUCUCCUCUCCUGCCCGGUCCAAGCGGAGGCGAGCAUCCGGCUCUGUCAGCCUGCUACAGACACCACAGAGUUUGACAAAGCAGCUCUCAGAGGCUGCCCUGCACUCUGCUACAGGAAAGGAAGAGUGAAAAAAGCAGCCGGCCGAGGAUCCAGGACAAAGUGUCUCCUGAGUUUCAGUAAGUGGCUCUGUCACAUAAAACUUAUGUUGGCUGUUAAGUGGCCAAGCCAGCUGCAUCCCAUGUG
This 336-nucleotide long non-coding RNA is filed under the name Chinchilla lanigera (long-tailed chinchilla). RNAcentral's name for it is "lncRNA (ENSCLAG00000024953.1)". Lineage: Eukaryota; Metazoa; Chordata; Mammalia; Rodentia; Chinchillidae. The record is from RNAcentral.